This 440-nucleotide ribosomal RNA is filed under the name uncultured bacterium. RNAcentral's name for it is "partial 16S ribosomal RNA". It matches the Rfam family "Bacterial small subunit ribosomal RNA", at positions 338 to 795 of the family's 1533-position model. The record is from RNAcentral.
CCUACGGGAGGCAGCAGUAGGGAAUAUUGCUCAAUGGGGGAAACCCUGAAGCAGCAACGCCGCGUGGAGGAUGAAGGUUUUCGGAUUGUAAACUCCUUUUGUUAGAGAAGAUAAUGACGGUAUCUAACGAAUAAGCACCGGCUAACUCCGUGCCAGCAGCCGCGGUAAUACGGAGGGGGCAAGCGUUACUCGGAAUCACUGGGAGUAAAGAGCGCGUAGGCGGGAUAGCAAGUCAGAUGUGAAAGCCUAUGGCUUAACCAUAGAACUGCAUUUGAAACUGGUAUGCUAGAGUAUGGGAGAGGUAGGUGGAAUUCUUGGUGUAGGGGUAAAAUCCGUAGAGAUCAGGAGGAAUACUCAUUGCGAAGGCGACCUACUAGAACAUAACUGACGCUGAUGCGCGAAAGCGUGGGGAGCAAACAGGAUUAGAUACCCUUGUAGUC